RNAcentral lists this ribosomal RNA (466 nucleotides) under uncultured bacterium. Its description in RNAcentral is "partial 16S ribosomal RNA". It matches the Rfam family "Bacterial small subunit ribosomal RNA", at positions 339 to 795 of the family's 1533-position model. The record is from RNAcentral.
CUACGGGGGGCUGCAGUGAGGAAUUUUGCGCAAUGGGGGGAACCCUGACGCAGCAACGCCGCGUGAGUGAUGAAGGCUUUCGGGUCGUAAAGCUCUGUCAAGUGGGAAGAACCUAUGCAGUGUUAAUAUCACUGUAUACUGACGGUACCACUGAAGGAAGCACCGGCUAACUCCGUGCCAGCAGCCGCGGUAAUACGGGGGGGUGCAAGCGUUAUUCGGAAUCAUUGGGCGUAAAGGGCACGUAGGCGGCUUGGUAAGUCAGAUGGGAAAGCCCGGGGCUUAACCCCGGAAGUGCAUUUGAUACUGUCAGGCUUGAGUAUGGGAGAGAGAAGUGGAAUUCCUGGUGUAGAGGUGAAAUUCGUAGAUAUCAGGAGGAACACCGGUGGCGAAGGCGACUUCCUGGACCAAUACUGACGCUGAGGUGCGAAGGCGUGGGUAGCAAACAGGAUUAGAUACCCCAGUAGUC